AUUGAACGCUGGCGGCAGGCCUAACACAUGCAAGUCGAGCGGAGCGGCGGACGGGCGAGUAAUGCCUAGGAAUCUGCCUGGUAGUGGGGGAUAACGUCCGGAAACGGGCGCUAAUCCCGCAUACUUUCAGAUGAGCCUAGGUCGGAUUAGCUCGCUGGUGGGGUAAAGGCCUACCAAGGCGACGAUCCGUAACUGGUCUGAGAGGAUGAUCAGUCACACUGGAACUGAGACACGGUCCAGACUCCUACGGGAGGCAGCAGUAGGGAAUAUUGGACAAGGGGCGAAAGCCUGAUGCAGCCAUGCCGCGUGAGUGAAGAAGGUCGUCGGAUUGUAAAGCUCUUUAAGUUGGGAGGCGUUACCAACAGAGAAAGCACCGGCUAACUACGUGCCAGCAGCCGCGGUAAUAC
RNAcentral lists this ribosomal RNA (407 nucleotides) under uncultured bacterium. RNAcentral's name for it is "partial 16S ribosomal RNA". It matches the Rfam family "Bacterial small subunit ribosomal RNA", at positions 30 to 526 of the family's 1533-position model. The record is from RNAcentral.